UUAAUUGAAACCAAAAAGAGGUAUGUCACUGUUAAUGACAAAAUUGAAUCAUUUUCCAAUUAAA
RNAcentral lists this transfer RNA (64 nucleotides) under Tribolium castaneum (red flour beetle). RNAcentral's name for it is "tRNA-Asn". The record is from RNAcentral. Lineage: Eukaryota; Metazoa; Arthropoda; Insecta; Coleoptera; Tenebrionidae.